AGGUGGAUAAACAUUACUCAAGGAAUUUUUCCUGGGGACUAAACAGAGCAUUGGGAUGUUUGAGGCUUGGACAAUGGGCUGGAGGUAACCUGGUAUCUCUCUCUACAGAUGAAGCCAUCAGUAGAAUCGUUGCUCUGCUCCGGAGUGCAGGAGAUGAGCUGGACAGGCAGGUGAGGGAGGACGCACGGCUGCAGCAGUUCUUCAGGGACAUGUCCUACAGCUCCUUCAAGAACCUGGCUGAUGCCUAUGUCCAGAGGGAGCUGACAGCCAGCAGGCCCAACAUCAACCCCCAGGAGAUCCAGUUUGCCUACACGGUCCAUCUCACCGCCACGGUGGCAGGGAUCUGCAGCCAGGCAGUGAACAGGAUCAUGGGCUUCGGCACCCGCUACCUGGACGAUUCCUUUGCACCCUACGGCAAAAUUCUCCAGGAGAGAGAAAAGCUGAGGAUAGACCACUGUGACAGCCCGGACUGACAGCGGCUGCUGCAAGGGGCCCGUGGUGCCUGGGAACCCAAGGAUGAACAUUUAGUGCUGGGAGGGCAAUCCCUGUUGGUGACCUGGAUGUGGGGUGAAUUUCUGAGCUCGGAUUUAAAAUCUUUUCAGGAGAAUCAGCAGUGUGAAAUACUUGAACCCCACCUGGCUGGGGGCAAAAAGUCAGAAAAUCAAACAGAGCCCAAAUUUCACCCUGUAUUUGUAUUUUAGCUCCUGCCAAGUGCUUGUGUUGAACCUCAGGGGUUGUUGCUGUUUGUGCACAUAUAUUUAUUUACUUGCUUUUCUAAAUGUAUUUGUGAAUGUACAACAUAAUUUUUGUAGUUUCUGCUACCAGCCAAGAAACCAG
This 837-nucleotide long non-coding RNA is filed under the name Chloebia gouldiae (Gouldian finch). RNAcentral's name for it is "Erythrura gouldiae (Gouldian finch) lncRNA (ENSEGOG00005012399.1)". Lineage: Eukaryota; Metazoa; Chordata; Aves; Passeriformes; Passeridae. The record is from RNAcentral.